Long non-coding RNA from Patella vulgata (common limpet), 1176 nucleotides. RefSeq lists it as uncharacterized. NCBI's taxonomy places the organism in Eukaryota, Metazoa, Mollusca, Gastropoda, Patellidae. The record is from RefSeq and is a predicted model, not a curated record. The transcript has 3 exons.
UUUUUACACUCAGGUCACAGCCGCAAAUAGACGGGGAUUUCCCUGCUGGAGAUAUUAACUGUUUAUUCCCGUUUGUCUCACCCUUUGUGUUGGUCAGAGUAGAAGAAAGUUGUGUGUAUUAAAUCUGUUCCUAUAACAACAUUAUGAUGUCUGAUAUGACACUUCAACAGACUGUCAACUACCAGAGUCUUAAUUUCCACCACUCUUGUAAUGUACAAAUAGGUGAACACAACAAAAUACACAAUCAUCAGGCUAACCAACUAAAAGAAGAUGUUGAAAAAAUGAAGAAUGAGAUACAACAACUCAAGUUGGACAAUCAGAAUCAAGCUGAGAAGAUACAAAAACUCCAAUCAGACAAACAGAACCAAGCUUAUAAGAUACAGAGCCAUGCUAACGAGAUACAGAAACUCAAGUCAGACAUUCUUCAUCACCAAUCAGACAAACAGAGUCAAGCUGACAAGAUACAACUCCUUGAAUCAUUGGUUGAAGUUAUGAAAGAGAAAACAGAUAAAACUAUAACUAAAGAAAAGGAUGAUAGGAUAACUCUUAAUGUAGACUUUGUUGUGUAUGAUAAGAUGACUAUAAGUGUUAGUAAAGAUAAAACAGUAAGACAAGUAGAAGAGAUGAUACAGGAGAAGUUAAGAAGGAAGUGUGAUAGAAAUGUUGUUGGUUAUAUCUAUAGCGUAAAACAGAAGAAGAACGUCUACGAUCGUUACAACCGCUACAACCAAGAUAGAUCAUUAAAAGAUUAUGGUGUAGAGGAUGGUGAUAUAGUCCACUGGUGGGAGUAUUGAGUUAUGUUGUACACGAUGGGGAAUGUAGUCUGGUUGAUUAAACUGAGUUAGAAUGGUAUUACAAUCAUAUAUACUAUAAAACAAUAUUAAUCAUUCAACUUGAACAUUAUUAUUAUGGUGGUGUUUUAGUGACAUUAUUAAAAUAUUAAAACAUACUAACUAUAAAAUAGUUUUACCAUAAUCAUGUGAUCAGUUGAGAAACCACAGAAGAGAACAAUCUCAAAACAAAAACUGUUUGAUGAAACAAGGAGAAAGUUAUUUUCAGAGUUUACAAGAUGCACAAUUAAUUUUUUUAUAAACCAUAAUUGUGGACAUAGCACUUUGUAGUUGAUUUACCCUAGAAAUAAAGGACCUAUCUUAUUAAAUGUUUUAUUGGUGAAGC